UGGAGGACUGAGAAGGUUGAGCAGCCUGCAGUGCUGCUAUAACUGGUUAUAGCCUCCUAAAGUAACUCACUAACCGCUCAAUUCAGUGGCUCUGUCAUAUAAGCAGAGCUGAUGUGUAGUGUGUUUGUGAACAAAAC
Gymnodraco acuticeps is the source of this 137-nucleotide small nucleolar RNA. RefSeq annotates it as small nucleolar RNA SNORA47. The record is from RefSeq and is a predicted model, not a curated record. The transcript has a single exon. Lineage: Eukaryota; Metazoa; Chordata; Actinopteri; Perciformes; Bathydraconidae.